AAGUCGUAACAAGGUAUCCGUAGGUGAACCUGCGGAUGGAUCAUUACUAAAGUAUCCAUCCUACGUACUGUGAACUGUUUUGACUAUAAAGUCGGUAUUGGUGUGCUGUUUCGAUAGCCCACCAUACCGCAGUUGUUAUGUAUUAAACUGACUGAGAGUACUAUACUAAUAGUAACCAAUAAGAACUUUUAGCAACGGAUCUCUUGGCUCUC
RNAcentral lists this unclassified non-coding RNA (212 nucleotides) under fungal sp. RNAcentral's name for it is "partial internal transcribed spacer region". The stretch from base 1 to 46 matches the Rfam family "Eukaryotic small subunit ribosomal RNA", at positions 1786 to 1831 of the family's 1831-position model. Lineage: Eukaryota; Fungi. The record is from RNAcentral.